GAUGAACGCUGGCGGCGUGCCUAAUACAUGCAAGUCGAGCGAACGGACGAGAAGCUUGCUUCUCUGAUGUUAGCGGCGGACGGGUGAGUAACACGUGGAUAACCUACCCAUAAGACUGGGAUAACUUCGGGAAACCGGAGCUAAUACCGGAUAAUAUUUUGAACCGCAUGGUUCAAAAGUGAAAGACGGUCUUGCUGUCACUUAUAGAUGGAUCCGCGCUGCAUUAGCUAGUUGGUAAGGUAACGGCUUACCAAGGCAACGAUGCAUAGCCGACCUGAGAGGGUGAUCGGCCACACUGGAACUGAGACACGGCCCAGACUCCUACGGGAGGCAGCAGUAGGGAAUCUUCCGCAAUGGGCGAAAGCCUGACGGAGCAACGCCGCGUGAGUGAUGAAGGUCUUCGGCUCGUAAAACUCUGUUAUUAGGGAAGAACAUAUGUGUAAGUAACUGUGCACAUCUUGACGGUACCUAAUCAGAAAGCCACGGCUAACUACGUG
This 497-nucleotide ribosomal RNA is filed under the name uncultured bacterium. Its description in RNAcentral is "partial 16S ribosomal RNA". It matches the Rfam family "Bacterial small subunit ribosomal RNA", at positions 28 to 507 of the family's 1533-position model. The record is from RNAcentral.